GAGCGCAGUAUUAGAGGCUGUACGCGGCUGUGCUCUCGGGCCAGUUUUGCGGAGGCUGAAUUAUUUAUUACCCUUGUCUUUUGCGCACUUGUUGUUUCCUGGGCGGGUUCGCCCGCCACCAGGACCACAUCAUAAACCUUUUUUAUGCAGUUGCAAUCAGCGUCAGUAUAACAAAUGUAAAUCAUUUACAACUUUCAACAACGGAUCUCUUGGUUCUGGCAUCGAUGAAGAACGCAGCGAAAUGCGAUACGUAGUGUGAAUUGCAGAAUUCAGUGAAUCAUCGAAUCUUUGAACGCACAUUGCGCCCUUUGGUAUUCCAAAGGGCAUGCCUGUUCGAGCGUCAUUUGUACCCUCAAGCUUUGCUUGGUGUUGGGCGUUUUUUGUCUUUGGUUGCCAAAGACUCGCCUUAAAAGGAUUGGCAGCCGGCCUACUGGUUUCGCAGCGCAGCACAUUUUUGCGCUUGCAAUCAGCAAAAGAGGACGGCAAUCCAUCAAGACUCCUUCUCACGUUUGACCUCGGAUCAGGUAGGGAUACCCGCUGAACUUAAGCAUAUCAAUAAGCGGAGG
This 566-nucleotide ribosomal RNA is filed under the name Curvularia lunata. RNAcentral describes it as "eukaryotic LSU rRNA". The stretch from base 190 to 343 matches the Rfam family "5.8S ribosomal RNA". Lineage: Eukaryota; Fungi; Ascomycota; Dothideomycetes; Pleosporales; Pleosporaceae. The record is from RNAcentral.